GAUGAACGCUAGCUACAGGCUUAACACAUGCAAGUCGAGGGGAAACGAUAGAGAAAGCUUGCUUUUUCUGGGCGUCGACCGGCGCACGGGUGAGUAACGCGUAUCCAACCUGCCCAUCACUUGGGGAUAACCUUGCGAAAGUAAGACUAAUACCCAAUGAUAUCUCUAGAAGACAUCUGAAGGAGAUUAAAGAUUUAUCGGUGAUGGAUGGGGAUGCGUCUGAUUAGCUUGUUGGCGGGGUAACGGCCCACCAAGGCGACGAUCAGUAGGGGUUCCGAGAGGAAGGUCCCCCACAUUGGAACUGAGACACGGUCCAAACUCCUACGGGAGGCAGCAGUGAGGAAUAUUGGUCAAUGGGCGAGAGCUUGAACCAGCCAAGUAGCGUGCAGGAUGACGGCCCUAUGGGUUGUAAACUGCUUUUAUAAGGGAAUAAAGUGAGUCUCGUGAGGCUUUUUGCAUGUACCUUAUGAAUAAGGACCGGCUAAUUCCGUGCCAGCCGCCGCGGUAA
Molecule: ribosomal RNA, 508 nt
Filed under: uncultured bacterium
Lineage: Bacteria
Description: partial 16S ribosomal RNA
Rfam family: Bacterial small subunit ribosomal RNA
Source: RNAcentral